CUUCACCGAGCCCAGCCACAGCGGCUGCUCCGCCGUGUGCUCGCGCCCGUAGGUCGCCAGCAGGGCCUGCGCCUC
This 75-nucleotide antisense RNA is filed under the name Streptomyces sp. CNZ306. Its description in RNAcentral is "ASpks TB sRNA". It matches the Rfam family "ASpks TB sRNA". RNAcentral also lists the same sequence under 1 other name. The record is from RNAcentral. Lineage: Bacteria; Bacillati; Actinomycetota; Actinomycetes; Kitasatosporales; Streptomycetaceae.